ACCCGGAGACCGCGCCUACUCCUAACUGAGCGGGCGCGGGAGACGGGUCUUUUACUUUGAAAAAAUCAGAGUGUUUCAAGCAGGCAGUCGCUCUUGCAUGGAUUAGCAUGGGAUAAUGAAAUAGGACUCUGGUGCUAUUUUGUUGGUUUCGAACACCGGAGUAAUGAUUAACAGGGGACAGUCAGGGGCACUCGUAUNCCGCCGAGAGAGGUGAAAUUCUCAGACCAGCGGAAGACGAACCACUGCGAAAGCAUUUGCCAGGGAUGUUUUCACUGAUCAAGAACGAAAGUUAGGGGAUCGAAGACGAUCAGAUACCGUCGUAGUCUUAACCAUAAACCAUGCCGACUAGGGAUUGGGAGGAUGUUCCAUUUGUGACUCCUUCAGCACCUUUCGGGAAACUAAAGUCUUUGGGUUCCGGGGGGAGUAUGGUCCCAAGGCUGACACUUAAAGGAAUUGACCGGAAGGGCACCACCAGGAGUGGAGCCUGCGGGCUUAAUUUGACUC
RNAcentral lists this ribosomal RNA (504 nucleotides) under Emiliania huxleyi. RNAcentral's name for it is "SSU rRNA". It matches the Rfam family "Eukaryotic small subunit ribosomal RNA", at positions 701 to 1201 of the family's 1831-position model. Lineage: Eukaryota; Haptophyta; Isochrysidales; Noelaerhabdaceae. The record is from RNAcentral.